This 487-nucleotide ribosomal RNA is filed under the name uncultured organism. Its description in RNAcentral is "bacterial SSU rRNA". It matches the Rfam family "Bacterial small subunit ribosomal RNA", at positions 28 to 507 of the family's 1533-position model. The record is from RNAcentral.
GAUGAACGCUAGCUACAGGCUUAACACAUGCAAGUCGAGGGGCAGCAUAUUUAUAGCAAUAUAAAUGAUGGCGACCGGCGCACGGGUGAGUAACACGUAUCCAACCUGCCGUUUACUCGGGGAUAGCCUUUCGAAAGAAAGAUUAAUACCCGAUGGUAUAUAUUGAUUUCAUGGUCUUUAUAUUAAAGAAUUUCGGUAAACGAUGGGGAUGCGUUCCAUUAGGCAGUUGGCGGGGUAACGGCCCACCAAACCUACGAUGGAUAGGGGUUCUGAGAGGAAGGUCCCCCACAUUGGAACUGAGACACGGUCCAAACUCCUACGGGAGGCAGCAGUGAGGAAUAUUGGUCAAUGGGCGUAGGCCUGAACCAGCCAAGUAGCGUGAAGGAUGACUGCCCUAUGGGUUGUAAACUUCUUUUAUAAGGGAAUAAAGUGGAGUAUGUAUACUCUUUUGUAUGUACCUUAUGAAUAAGGAUCGGCUAACUCCGUG